RNAcentral lists this ribosomal RNA (433 nucleotides) under uncultured bacterium. RNAcentral's name for it is "partial 16S ribosomal RNA". It matches the Rfam family "Bacterial small subunit ribosomal RNA", at positions 29 to 507 of the family's 1533-position model. The record is from RNAcentral.
AACGAACGCUGGCGGCAUGCCUAACACAUGCAAGUCGAACGAGACCUUCGGGUCUAGUGGCGCACGGGUGCGUAACGCGUGGGAACCUGCCCUUAGGUUGGGAAUAACUCCCCGAAAGGGGUGCUAAUACCGGAUAAUGUCUUCGGACCAAAGAUUUAUCGCCUUUGGAUGGGCCCGCGUUGGAUUAGCUAGUUGGUAGGGUAAAAGCCUACCAAGGCGACGAUCCAUAGCUGGUCUGAGAGGAUGAUCAGCCACACUGGGACUGAGACACGGCCCAGACUCCUACGGGAGGCAGCAGUGGGGAAUAUUGGACAAUGGGCGAAAGCCUGAUCCAGCAAUGCCGCGUGAGUGAUGAAGGCCUUAGGGUUGUAAAGCUCUUUUACCCGGGAUGAUAAUGACAGUACCGGGAGAAUAAGCUCCGGCUAACUCCGUG